RNAcentral lists this ribosomal RNA (252 nucleotides) under uncultured bacterium. Its description in RNAcentral is "partial 16S ribosomal RNA". It matches the Rfam family "Bacterial small subunit ribosomal RNA", at positions 524 to 776 of the family's 1533-position model. The record is from RNAcentral.
UACGGAGGGUGCAAGCGUUAUCCGGAUUCACUGGGUUUAAAGGGUGCGUAGGAGGGCAGGUAAGUCAGUGGUGAAAUCUUCGAGCUUAACUCGGAACUGCCGUUGAUACUAUCUGUCUUGAAUACCGUGGAGAUGAGCGGAAUAUGUCAUGUAGCGGUGAAAUGCUUAGAUAUGACAUAGAACACCAAUUGCGAAGGCAGCUCGUUACACGAAUAUUGACUCUGAGGCACGAAAGCGUGGGGAUCAAACAGG